Long non-coding RNA from Lycium barbarum (goji berry), 1432 nucleotides. RefSeq lists it as uncharacterized. The transcript has 3 exons. The record is from RefSeq and is a predicted model, not a curated record. Lineage: Eukaryota; Viridiplantae; Streptophyta; Magnoliopsida; Solanales; Solanaceae.
ACUGAUCGAUUUGACUUUAUGUCACAUAUUGCGGAAGUUUUGGUAACGGCCGAACGAGUCAUUACAUACAAUUUUAGAAAUUUAUAUAAACUAGCUGGAAAUAUAUCUAUAUAGAAUAGGAGAAGCAAAAAAAUCUUGCGAUGACAAGUGUAAGCACCAGAAAAUUCCAAUAUGAAAAUAUAAAAAUAUAAAAAUAAAAGCAAAGCCAGGAAUAUUUGAAUUUAAUUUUAAAAAGUGUGAAAACUAGUUGAGUAACCAACUAAAUCAGCGAUAUUUGUUUUUAAAUAAAAAAAAAAGUAAAAGAUAAAGGAUAACCAACUUCCCAAUACAUUCCAUGUCUCAGUAAGGGUUUCUAAGUAGAUGGGUUCAGUUACACCUUCAUCAGUAUAACAAAAUGCAAUGUAUUUCGAAAUCCGACAAAUCAUUCCAAAUCAAAUCCUCAAUUAUAAUGGCAUAAAAAUAGAGAGUAAAAUGAACAAAGGAGAAAAAUUCACCCCAACACCCGCAUCAUCUGAAAACCACAAAUCCAUUUGCAUUCAAGGCAGAGAAGAAAUCACUAUAGGAGAAGACUUUUAACGUCUGUGAGAAAGAUUUGAAGAUAGAUCCGAAAUGCAGUUCAAGAAAGAAUUAAGGAGGACUUCACUAAGAUAUAUGGAGGAGGCAAAGCUACUACAGAUUUUGCUAACAGCUUGAACAGGGAAUUUUCGUAAUUUGCAUUACUUUUAUGAUAGAAGGUUUAGAGAGUGAUAAAAGAAACUUCUUAAAAUCUAUACCUCAGUAUCCUGCUUUGAUUAGGAGUAAUAAAUAAAAAAUUCUAUGAACUUUUGUUUUGUUUAUCUUUUAAUCAUUAUAGUGAGAAGACCUUCCACGAUUGAAGCUACUCUACCGAAAAAGGAAAUUACUUCAGAUGACGAAGAAAAGGAUUGCGUUGAUUCUACUACCGGCUGGGUGCAUCCUUCAAUUAACCAAUUCGUGCAUUCUUCUUGCAUACCAAAUUUUGGUUCUUAUGCUCAUUCUUCAUUUGCAAAUCUCUAAUUGUAGCGAAUAUUGCAGAAUCCUGAGCCUUCUGUGGAGUUUGAAACUGUUCCAAACAAAAAAUACCAGCAUGAAGUGAAUGUUGGGCUUGAUUGUGCUAAAUAUUGGAACCUAUAUGAGCGGAGUUGCUAUGCGGCAUAAUUUUUUGAGCAUGAAGAAGACUAUAAUGAGUGACAGAUGCUUGGUUCAAAGAUAAUCAUUAAGUGUUUUCAAUCUUCUUCCCUUAGAUAUUAUUUACAUGUAAAAUGAAGCAUCAUGGAGGAAUCCUUAAAUGGAAAGCGAGCUAUUAUCAAACUUUCUUCACUAUACAUAACCAUGAUGCAUCCAUGUUAGAACUAUUAUGCUUCAAAUGAAGUUCUUCGGUCAAGUUAUGUUAAGCUAAUAAUGUUGUCCCUCA